AUAUGAGCUGCGACCGCAUGGUCNGCAGUUGGAAAGAUUUUUCGGUCUGGGAUGGGCUCACGGCCUAUCAGCUUGUUGGUGAGGUAAUGGCUCACCAAGGCGUCNNCGGGUAGCCGGCCUGAGAGGGUGACCGGCCACACUGGGACUGAGACACGGCCCAGACUCCUACGGGAGGCAGCAGUGGGGAAUAUUGCACAAUGGGCGAAAGCCUGAUGCAGCAACGCCGCGUGAGGGAUGACGGCCUUCGGGUUGUAAACCUCUUUUAGCAGGGAAGAAGCGAAAGUGACGGUACCUGCAGNAAAAGCGCCGGCUAACUACGUGCCAGCAG
RNAcentral lists this ribosomal RNA (328 nucleotides) under Microbacterium oleivorans. RNAcentral's name for it is "bacterial SSU rRNA". It matches the Rfam family "Bacterial small subunit ribosomal RNA", at positions 173 to 514 of the family's 1533-position model. Lineage: Bacteria; Bacillati; Actinomycetota; Actinomycetes; Micrococcales; Microbacteriaceae. The record is from RNAcentral.